GUUAACGUCAAGGCUCAUGGGUAUUAACCGUGAACUUUUCCUCACUGCUGAAAGUGCUUUACAACCCUCGGGCCUUCUUCACACACGCGGCAUUGCUGGAUCAGGCUUUCGCCCAUUGUCCAAUUAUUCCCCA
This 133-nucleotide ribosomal RNA is filed under the name uncultured bacterium. RNAcentral describes it as "partial 16S ribosomal RNA". The record is from RNAcentral.